RNAcentral lists this transfer RNA (84 nucleotides) under Mycoplasmopsis felis. RNAcentral's name for it is "tRNA-Leu". The record is from RNAcentral. Lineage: Bacteria; Bacillati; Mycoplasmatota; Mycoplasmoidales; Metamycoplasmataceae.
GCCAGGCAUGGAAUGGUAGACGCAAGGGACUUAAAAUCCCUCGGUCGCAAGACCGUGCUGGUUCAAGUCCAGUCUUGGGCGCCA